UACGUAGGCAGCGAGCGUUGUUCGGAGUUACUGGGCGUAAAGAGUGCGUAGGCGGUUUUCUAAGUUUGGUGUGAAAUCUCCCGGCUUAACUGGGAGGGUGCGCCGAAGACUGGAAGGCUUGAGUAUGGGAGAGGUAAGCGGAAUUCCUGGUGUAGCGGUGAAAUGCGUAGAUAUCUGGAGGAACAUCGGUGGCGAAGGCGGCAUCCUGGACCGGUAUUGACGCUGAGGCGCGAAAGCCAGGGGAGCAAACGGG
Molecule: ribosomal RNA, 253 nt
Filed under: uncultured bacterium
Lineage: Bacteria
Description: partial 16S ribosomal RNA
Rfam family: Bacterial small subunit ribosomal RNA
Source: RNAcentral